This 1063-nucleotide long non-coding RNA is filed under the name Felis catus (domestic cat). RNAcentral describes it as "lncRNA (ENSFCAG00000050859.1)". Lineage: Eukaryota; Metazoa; Chordata; Mammalia; Carnivora; Felidae. The record is from RNAcentral.
AGUUGCCUCCGGCUUCUUCUACCUUCAAGUCAGAGCCAACGGCACCUGGAGCAGGUAGAGCGAGCCAGCCAGUGAGCCUGGUGGUCAGAGCUACACUGACUUCUCCCGCAGUCUCCACAUGGCUGAGACCACAGCCCGGCUCCAGAGGUCGGCCACACAGGCCAGAUGCCUAGUAACCACGGCGUGGAAUGGAGGAGAGUAUCACAACCCAACCGCCUCUGAGCUGCCCGCUGCUUCUCGGGUACCCGGGAGGUCUUGGCAAAUCACCUCCCUCAGCUCCAGUGGUGAGCCCCUGACCAAGCCCUGCGCGAUCAGAGCAUCCAAAUGCCUGACCACAGUGACGGGUUCAGAGACAGGCACGUGACCUAAGUCAGACCAAUGAGAUCCAGUCCUGGGAUUUGUGUGCAAACAGCCAGAAGAGAGACAUUACCUUCCCACAGAGUGCUCUGAAGCUGACUGGGUGGAAGCCUGAUCCUCAGGUGGGAUCAAGUGGAGCAAGUGCCUGAGACGAAGGCAGCUCAGAGGACAGCAGUGCUAAGCGGUGAAGAGAAAGGCAGAGUCCUAAUGAUCUUGUUUGAAGCUCUGGAUCUGGCCAUAUCUGAGGCCAGUGGCACCCUUGAGCUUUCCAGUUUCAUCAGCCAACUAAUCCUCCUUUUGCCUGAGCCAGUCUGAGAUGGGUUUCUGUCACUCACAACCAAGAGUCCUGGAUAAGGACUCCCAGAUUCCUAAGUUACCUCUGGUUUACCAGAGUGUCUAGGAAGGUUACUUGCUGGGGCGCAAGGCAGUAGUGAGUGACUUGCUCAAGGUCGUGAAACUGCUUCGUGAGAGAGCGGAGACCAGAACUUGGCUUGCAGACAGUUCUCCAUAUGACAUCCUGCCUCUUCUCCUGUCUAGGGGUCUGGCAUUGGCCCAACCAAAGCUACCCUAAAGCCAACAUAUAGAGUGAGAUGCUCACUUAGCAACACCCCACCCCACUCUCAAGCCAUGGCAGGGUCCAAACCACAGACAAGCAGAGGUGAAAAGAGAGCUGCCCCAUAGCACUCAGAGCAGAGGCUGUCUCCAG